GUUGUCUUUGCUACUAUUUUCCUUCUCUUGCUUGAGAUCUGCGUUUUCUUUCUUACUAUUUUUGAGCUCUUCCCUGAGAACUGCGUUUUCUUUCUUAAUAUUUUCAAGCUCUUCCGUCAGUUCUGCAUCUCUUCUAUGGUGGUGCUCAAAUUGAAGCACUACGUCUCUGUGAAUUUGAGACAGUGUCAUCACACUAACAUCAAGCUGCACUCUUAGUGACUCAUCUCCACUAUCGCUUCCAGAAGGUAAGUUAUUAAAUGAUUCCUGUGACAUUUUUUUAAAGGUUUAAAGCACGGUGUCACAGGUUAAAUACGUAUUAGCUUUGCCUAAAACAACCGGCUGUUUCUGAAAAUGCUCCAAUGUAAACUGAGUAAACUGUUAAAGGAGCUCCCUAUUUAAGGACUAGCAGAGAACGUGACGUCGACCGAGAACGUGACGUCGACCGUGACGUCAGAAUGGUCCUUUGUGAAGAUCAAAGGAUCACAGAGCGAGGGGGCGUUCCAAGAUGGCCGAGUAAGUACACGCUUACUCCCCAGCUUAGCAAAUGUAACGCUAUAAUACUGUAGGAACACUGUGUCAACUCAGACCUCAGAAGCUUUUUCGGUAUUUAAGCCAGAAAAGGACUGAUUUUGAUCAAUAAAGCGACAAAAUGUCACAGCGUGACCAGGGCUGGACUGGGACAAAAAAAUCGGCCCGGGCAUUUUGACUAGAGACCGGCCCACGAAAAAUGUGACGACGAUGCCCAAGGAAAUCAAGAACGGGCAACCCAAACUGGCAUUUAGACGGAUUAAUAAUCAGUCCAUGCUCCGCCAAACGCUGAAAAACCUGACGCAGAUGGAACAUGUGCUGCUCCUUCGAGCUGCUGGCCACCAGUAUAUCAUCAAGAUAUACAAAAACAAAGGGCAGCCCGCGCAAGACCGAGUCCAUCAACCGCUGGAAGGUUUGGGCGGCACCUUUCAGGCCAAACGGCAUGCGCAGAAACUGGAAAAGGCCGAAAGGUGUAAUUACGGCGGUUUUGGGGACAUCCUCGGGAACCUGGUGAUAUCCCCGUACCAAAUCGAUCUUCGAAAAUGACACAGCAUCAAUUAAACGUCUGUUAGCAACAUCAACCAGCAGCCCGUGAGCACAAAGAAAAUCAGCGCCUAUUAUAGGCACAGAGCUAGCAGCAACAACAAAGUUCCACUGAAAGUCACGGUCGUGAAAGCAAACAGUCACCAACCUUUUGUAACCCAGUGUUAAUUUGGUUAUCUGACUUUGUGUGAUAUUCAGUAUAUAUGUAUAUAUCUAUAUUGGGUGUUAUAAAAUGUUCUUCAAUGAUUUUGAGGUUUUUUUUAUAUUGCUAUGGGUUUGCGGCUGCUUUACGACAGUCGACUGUAGUGGUACAUCCUAGCGGGAGGGGCUAUGAGCUCACGUGGCUUGUAGCUGUGCCAGAGAGCAAGCUUGGGUGAGCUAGCGGGGAAUAUCUCCUUAUGCAGUAGCCUUGAAAAGGAUUAUUGUUCGUUCUCCUGCCAGACGCCUCGCUGCUGUGCUGCCUUACUACUGUGCUGCCUUACUGGUGCCAUUAAAGGACAAGCGGCCGCCAUCCCUUCAUCCAUCCGGACCUUGAUUAUUUGGACCGAAGUACUCACACACACGCCCGCACUCAGUGCCAUACAGUCUCUUUAUUUUGCUGGCCAGCUAAUACCAUUGUUUUUUUUGUUUUGUUUUGUUUGCAUUCAUAAAGACUAUCCAAAGACAUUUUGGUUAUUGUCAAAUAGACACUCUCUGAUUACGGACUGAGGAGGUUGUGGUGUUACAACCCCAGGACUGAGAAGGACUCUUUACAUAAUAUAUUCACUUGUCUCCUGGUUAGGAGAAGUGACUAUUGAUGGAAAUAUUUUUCUUCUUGUCUUUAUUUACAUUGUAUCCCAAAGAAGUUUUAAGUUGUUCAGGUUGAAACAUUUGCACUUAAAGUCUGUUAAGUUUCCUUUGAUGUAUCAGUGUCAAGCUGAUGUUUAAGAGGGUAUGUUAAGGACAGAUGUGCUCCAGUCCAUCCAAUCCUUUAAAGUGCUGGACACCGAUGGUAAAUUGCCAUCAGACCCUAAAUAAAUUGUCCUCUGCUGUUA
Molecule: long non-coding RNA, 2105 nt
Organism: Haplochromis burtoni (Burton's mouthbrooder)
Lineage: Eukaryota; Metazoa; Chordata; Actinopteri; Cichliformes; Cichlidae
Exons: 2
Source: RefSeq, a predicted model, not a curated record